UCUGCACGCCCAGAGGUUCCGGCACAAAUUAAGCACUGAUAAUAGGUAACGUUAGUGUUACUUGUAGUGUAUGCAAUCUGUUACUUUUACCCUGCGGUAAACAGUGAUUGCCCGUUCUUCUCUAGCAAUGUGUAUGCGAGUGUGAGGUGUAUCUUCUGGACCUCUGCACCUGAGACCCCCCUAAGGAAGAUCCUGGUUGCGCCCCUGAAUCAGACGCCUUUAUCCAGGGUUGGGUUUUCUACUGGAGCAAUCGAGGUAAAGUACCUUGCUCAAGGGUACAGCAGCAGUGCCCCCAUCUGGGAUUGAACUCACGACCGGUCAAGAGUCCAGAGCCCUGAGCCCUAACCACUACUCCACACUGCUGCCCAGAGGGCGGAGCACAUGGAGGUUAAGUGACUUGCUCAGAGUCACACAGCGAGUCAAUUAGUGGCAGGAGGUGCGAUUUGAACCGGAGAUCUUCUAGUUACAAGCCCUGGACGUUAACCACUGGACCACACUGCCUCCUUAAACUGGUGGAAUAGCAGUUUCUAUUAAACUGUAUAUAUUGUAAUGACCCAGGACUAUAUUGUUGCAGGACUGGUCUACGGACCCUGUUUGUUUGUGUGUGUGUGUGUGUGUGUUAGCAGGCUAUCUACAGGCGGCAAGCUUGCCUCAGCCGGGAUUGGUGGGUGCCAUCUGGGGAGAUGAGGACAUGAAAGCAUA
This is a long non-coding RNA of Acipenser ruthenus (sterlet), 702 nucleotides long. RefSeq lists it as uncharacterized. NCBI's taxonomy places the organism in Eukaryota, Metazoa, Chordata, Actinopteri, Acipenseriformes, Acipenseridae. The transcript is spliced from 3 exons. The record is from RefSeq and is a predicted model, not a curated record.